AAGCUGCGUGGCCGCGUUUAAAUUACUGGGCGGCCCCUUUGUACCCUAUAUAUGGGCAGGGGGACGACUACUUUUGGUGCGCUUCCUGUCCCCCCUCCUUUCUGCUGUGACUUCCGUGCCGGCAGCGUUCAGCGUGGAGUUUAGCGUGACUGUUUGGAUUACUUCUCAUGAGUUUAAGGUAUCUGUUCACAGCAUUACGGGAUAACAUGGUAGUUGGCUUAAUUAUUAACUCCUCGUAUUUGUUUGUAGUCGCGGGCUCGUAUUCGAUUGCCGGCUCAGCGCUGUGGUAUGCAUCUCUGAUGUUGCCUGGGCACUUUCACUUUAGUAAGGAGCUGGGGGCCAAGCAUCUGACUUGGGGAUGCGGAAUUCUAUUCACCUUUCCUGUAGUGUGGAGCACGUUGGGUGUGAUUGAGAUGUGUGGCACUGACAUGUGUGGUUUGUAGUGUAGAGGAUAUUCCUAUCCCUGUACUUCCUUCUGUCGUGGUAAGCCCUUAACCCAGUUCCUUCCUAAUUUGUUGCUGGUAAUUUAAAUUAUUAAAUUAUUGCUAGUUAUUUUUUUAUAUUGAUUCUCCAAGAAGGGAAUUCCUGGUCUGCCUGGUGGAAAAGAUGUUUUAAAAUAAUUGUCAAUAAAUCUCUAUUAAAUGAUUGUA
Molecule: long non-coding RNA, 650 nt
Organism: Pygocentrus nattereri (red-bellied piranha)
Lineage: Eukaryota; Metazoa; Chordata; Actinopteri; Characiformes; Serrasalmidae
Exons: 2
Source: RefSeq, a predicted model, not a curated record